RNAcentral lists this ribosomal RNA (399 nucleotides) under uncultured soil bacterium. RNAcentral's name for it is "bacterial SSU rRNA". It matches the Rfam family "Bacterial small subunit ribosomal RNA", at positions 26 to 432 of the family's 1533-position model. The record is from RNAcentral.
AGGACGAACGCUGGCGGCGUGCUUAACACAUGCAAGUCGAGCGGAAAGGCCUUUCGGGGUACUCGAGCGGCGAACGGGUGAGUAACACGUGAGUAAUCUGCCCAUCGCUUCAGGAUAGCCAUCGGAAACGGUGAUUAAUACUGGAUAUGACAUUCCUUCGCAUGUUGGGGUGUGGAAAGUUUUUUCGGCGGUGGAUGUGCUCGCGGCCUAUCAGCUUGUUGGUGGGGUAAUGGCCUACCAAGGCUUUGACGGGUAGCCGGCCUGAGAGGGUGACCGGCCACACUGGGACUGAGACACGGCCCAGACUCCUACGGGAGCAGCAGUGGGGAAUAUUGGACAAUGGGCGGAAGCCUGAUCCAGCAACGCCGCGUGAGGGAUGACGGCCUCGGUUGUAAACCG